Molecule: ribosomal RNA, 260 nt
Filed under: uncultured archaeon
Lineage: Archaea
Description: partial 16S ribosomal RNA
Rfam family: Archaeal small subunit ribosomal RNA
Source: RNAcentral
CAGCCGUAAACUAUGCGCGUUAGGUGUAUCGGUGACCACGAGUUACCGAGGUGCCGAAGGGAAACCGUGAAACGUGCCGCCUGGGAAGUACGGUCGCAAGGCUGAAACUUAAAGGAAUUGGCGGGGGAGCACCACAACAGGUGGAGCCUGCGGUUUAAUUGGACUCAACGCCGGGAAGCUCACCGGAUAGGACAGCAGAAUGAUUGCCGGCUGAAGACCCUGCAUGACUAGCUGAGAGGAGGUGCAUGGCGUAGACGUCU